This 253-nucleotide ribosomal RNA is filed under the name uncultured bacterium. RNAcentral's name for it is "partial 16S ribosomal RNA". It matches the Rfam family "Bacterial small subunit ribosomal RNA", at positions 524 to 776 of the family's 1533-position model. The record is from RNAcentral.
UACGAAGGGGGCUAGCGUUGCUCGGAAUUACUGGGCGUAAAGGGAGCGUAGGCGGACAUUUAAGUCAGAGGUGAAAUCCCGGAGCUUAACUUCGGAACUGUCUUUGAUACUGGGUGUCUUGAGUGUGAGAGAGGUAUGUGGAACUCCGAGUGUAGAGGUGAAAUUCGUAGAUAUUCGGAAGAACACCAGUGGCGAAGGCGACAUACUGGCUCAUUACUGACGCUGAGGCUCGAAAGCGUGGGGAGCAAACAGG